UUUUGGGCGAUUUACUGGAACACAAUUGACGCUGAGAUGCGAAAGCGUGGGGAGCAAACAGGAUUAGAUACCCUGGUAGUCCACGCCCUAAACGAUGUACACUAGUUGUUGUGAGACUAGAUCUUGCAGUAAUGCAGUUAACACAUUAAGUGUACCGCCUGGGGAGUACGGUCGCAAGAUUAAAACUCAAAGGAAUAGACGGGGACCCGCACAAGCGGUGGAGCAUGUGGUUUAAUUCGACGAUACACGAAGAACCUUACCUGGACUUGACAUAGUAAGAACUUUCUAGAGAUAGAUUGGUGUCUGCUUGCAGAAACUUAUAUACAGGUGCUGCACGGCUGUCGUCAGCUCGUGUCGUGAGAUGUUGGGUUAAGUCCCGCAACGAGCGCAACCCUCGUGUUUAGUUGCUAACAGUUCGGCUGAGAACUCUAAACAGACUGCCUACGCAAGUAGGAGGAAGGUGAGGACGACGUCAAGUCAUCAUGGCCCUUACGUCCAGGGCUACACACGUGCUACAAUGGGAUAUACAAAGAGCGGCAAUACGGUGACGUGGAGCAAAUCUUAUAAAAUAUCUCCCAGUUCGGAUUGUAGUCUGCAACUCGACUACAUGAAGUUGGAAUCGCUAGUAAUCGUAGAUCAGC
This 641-nucleotide ribosomal RNA is filed under the name Aliarcobacter skirrowii. RNAcentral describes it as "bacterial SSU rRNA". It matches the Rfam family "Bacterial small subunit ribosomal RNA", at positions 708 to 1353 of the family's 1533-position model. Lineage: Bacteria; Pseudomonadati; Campylobacterota; Epsilonproteobacteria; Campylobacterales; Arcobacteraceae. The record is from RNAcentral.